AUGGCAGAGAUUGACUAGCCACUUAUCAAACCUGUUUGUUUUUGCUUCCUUCCCACAGAUAGAUUAUUUCUCCCUGUCUUUCUUGUGAACACAUGUUUGAGUUCUGGCCGGUGGACUCUCCUGCACCUGUUCUAGGUCUGGUCCACAGAACCUUCCAUGUGCAACCCACCCUGCACUUCCCUUUCUUCAUCAGACUCGAAAGCCAUGAGCUGGAGAUGUUGGAGGCACCAGCUGGAAGGAGCCUGCAUCCUUGAGUUGCUGCUUGGAUGAGAACUGCCUACAAAUCAGGGCAUCAGCCUGGGACUUUAAUCGGACAUAGUUAUGAAGCGGCCUGUUCUUGUCUUGGUCCUGCCUGGUCCCACAGUGGCUUCUUCUGAUGCUGACACUCGUGAAAUGAUUCAUGUUCAACAGGAGAACACCAAGGCCUCGCUGUGUCAGCAUUCGAGCUCACCAAGUGUUGAAGAGAGGGUCAAGAGAUGCCAAGCAACUCAUGGGACUUUUCUCCCAGGAAGAGAAAAACGGUGA
This 525-nucleotide long non-coding RNA is filed under the name Mustela putorius furo (domestic ferret). Its description in RNAcentral is "lncRNA (ENSMPUG00000029128.1)". The record is from RNAcentral. Lineage: Eukaryota; Metazoa; Chordata; Mammalia; Carnivora; Mustelidae.